Molecule: long non-coding RNA, 1991 nt
Filed under: Rosa chinensis
Lineage: Eukaryota; Viridiplantae; Streptophyta; Magnoliopsida; Rosales; Rosaceae
Description: sRNA RchiOBHm_Chr4g0388461
Source: RNAcentral
GAAGAAGGUGGUACUGUUUGUUGGCGUCUACGAUUCGGAUUCGAUCUUCCCUCUGUAAAUCUGGAAGUCUCUAUCUACACGGAGAGAGGCGUCUGUCUACGGUAAUAUUUGCUGAGCCAGAUUAUCGGGUUAACUGAUCGAUCAAAGCUGGAUAGAGUUUGGGUUUUUCUUGAUAACGUUCAGUCUUUCAGAUUAUCAGAAAAAGAGAGGGAGAAGAGGACGGGGGAAGAAGGAAAAGAAGCAGAAGAGAGAGACUAGAAACUUUUGCUCUUGCUUCAGAGGAAACAAGUGGAAAGUCGAUAUCAACUAUUGAAGCUUCAACGUGCUAGAAGGAAGGAGGAUGACCCGUAUGAGAAUAUGGAUGCCAAAAUCAACUGGGCUUUAGAGCAGGCCUUCAAUUUGAAGCUUGAUUUCAGUGAGGCUGGGGAUGAUUUUGUUGUUUUUCGAAGACUGAUGCUGGAAUGAUGCUCAGGAAGAGUUUGAGGAUCUCAGAACCAAGGGCUGCCAACUUCUAGGAAUUCUGUUUCUGCUGCAGUUUUGGAUGUCGGUAAUUGACUACAACAGUUUCAAGCUUUUUGAACCCAAGAAGUCACCUGAAGCAGGCAAGAUUUAGGGAAAGCUAUCAACAGCUUCCAAUUGGUGAUAGCCACAAUCUCAAUCGUCUGAUUACAAGAUAUCCAGCCUUUACAGACUGACCAUAGAUGCUGGAAUUCUAGCUACGCUUCCUCAAACAGACCUCGGGGACCAAAGCCAAUGAAAAUCUUGCUGGCGCUACAUGAGCCAUGGUGGAACUCAUGUAUAAGGUCCAGAAAUCAAAAGGCUUAGCAGAGUGAGACAAUGGUUCAAGAGGGAUGUCAUGACAUUAAGAAGUUAGAUUUUGCAAAGAAGCAUAUAACAAACCACCAUUACUGCUCUUCAUAGUCAGACCAUGCUAGCCUCUGCUGUUGACAGCUUUUAAGUGAUGGCUUCCAAACGACAAUGUAAAGAGGUAGCUGCACAGGUGGAGGUAAAGUCACACGUGUUUUCCGAUUUCUCAAGGGCAUUCUGCUCUCCUUAGACAAGCAGAGUUAAAUACAUCGGUGGAUCUGCAUGUGAAUGAGGUCAUUGGAAGGCUUUUCUUGAUUUUGUUUUUCCAGGCAAUGACAGAAACGAGUUUGGAGCAGAAUCUCAGCCAAAAGAGGCUGAGGAAAGUGUGCUCCACGUUGUGACAAAGCUAAUGUCAAAAAAGGACAAGGGUCUCCUGAGGAAGAUGAAGCUAAGUCUUUAGACUCAUGGAACUGGUGGCAAUUGGAUUCAUCUGCCACAAAAAGCUGGCUUUUAGGUUCUUCAACAAGAAUCAAGUCGACCACAUUAAGGGUGAUCAGAACACGUGGUUUUCUAAUAAAGAAGCCAAGCUGCCGGAAUUGUAUUUAACAGGGUGAUCAGAACACGUGGUUUUCUAAUAAAGAAGCCAAGCUGCCGAAAUCGCAGAAAUUCACCCCUGAAUUUGGAACUUUAUUUCUUCCGUGACUUCACAUUUGAGUAAUUGACUGCAAUACUUUGAAGGUAACAAUCUGAUAUUUUCCAAUCAGUUCUCUGUUUGUCUUAUGAAUCCACCAUUUCAAUCUGAUACUUUCAAGCACAACAAACACUCAGCAACAUUUAUCAUCUUUUUCCUUUAUCAUUGUUGGUUUUGUUUUUUUUAAUUAAUUUUAAAUACAUACAAUUUGAUCUCAUUUAAUAAGUUUAAAUACAUACAAUUUGAUCUCAUUUAAUAAGCCAACUUUUAAGUUUUCAAUAGUUCCAGUAUCCAAAAUGUUUUGCUACAACUUUCAGUUUUCAACUUUCUUUCUAUUUUGUUUGUUUCCUUCUGUUUCCAGCUUCAAUUUUAGAUCUGCUGUUACUACUCCUACCAUUUUGAAUUCUUGCUCAUUUUGAACCUCUUCGAUUUUCAAUUAAUUCACUGAGGUAUCUACAGCAAGAUUGUUGUUUUGCUUAUGGAUGUUUGUUUU